CCUACGGGAGGCAGCAGUGGGGAAUAUUGCACAAUGGGGGGAACCCUGAUGCAGCGACGCCGCGUGAGUGAAGAAGUAUUUCGGUAUGUAAAGCUCUAUCAGCAGGGAAGAAAAUGACGGUAACCGACUCAGAAGCCCCCGCUAACUACGUGCCAGCAGCCGCGGUAAUACGUAGGGGGCAAGCGUUAUCCGGAUUUACUGGGUGUAAAGGGAGCGCAGACGGGUGUGCAAGUCUGGAGUGAAAGGCGGGGGCCCAACCCCCGGACUGCUCUGGAAAGUGUAGAGCUGGAGUGCAGGAGAGGUAAGCGGAAUGCCUAGUGUAGCGGUGAAAUGCGUAGAUAUUAGGAGGAACACCAGUGGCGAAGGCGGCUUACUGGACUGCAACUGACGUUGAGGCUCGAAAGCGUGGGGAGCGAACAGGAUUAGAUACCCCUGUAGUC
RNAcentral lists this ribosomal RNA (440 nucleotides) under uncultured bacterium. Its description in RNAcentral is "partial 16S ribosomal RNA". It matches the Rfam family "Bacterial small subunit ribosomal RNA", at positions 338 to 795 of the family's 1533-position model. The record is from RNAcentral.